AUGACAGCACUACUAGGACACCACGCUUUUGAAAAUUUGUCCCAAAGAGUAAAUAGAGCCCAUGACUGGCAGGAGGCUGAGCACCAAUUUGGAGAUAACUUUUCCUUUUAAACUCAAGAAAGUGCUAUAGGAGGCAUUCACUAUACACUUUAGAUUUUUCCAUACGGAUCACCAAUUCCUAAAAUCUAUUGGACAAUAGGCCAUUGUUUCCUUCUAUCUGAAACAUCAGCUCCGUUAUAUCAAGAUUCCAGAUGAGAAAGUGAGGCAGAAAGAGAUUAAGUAGUGGCCAAGAUGCUGCAAGAAAUACACACCAGGGCCUAGAGAAAGACACAGACAGGCUGGCUCUUCUCCCAGCCGCCAAUGGCCAAUCAGGCACUGCAGCUGAAGAACUUCAUGCAAAUGUGUCAUCACGGUGCAACUUCAUGGUAACAAACAUUUCCAUUUGUUGGGAGUCAAGGUUCCUGAGGAAAAGAAG
This 475-nucleotide long non-coding RNA is filed under the name Homo sapiens (human). Its description in RNAcentral is "HSALNT0405900". The record is from RNAcentral. Lineage: Eukaryota; Metazoa; Chordata; Mammalia; Primates; Hominidae.